GAUGAACGCUGGCGGCGUGCCUAAUACAUGCAAGUCGAGCGAACAGACGAGGAGCUUGCUCCUCUGACGUUAGCGGCGGACGGGUGAGUAACACGUGGAAAACCUACCUAUAAAACUGGGAUAACUUCGGGAAACCGGAGCUAAUACCGGAUAAUAUAUUGAACCGCAGGGUUCAAUGGUGAAAGACGGUUUUGCUGUCACUUAUAGAUGGAUCCGCGCCGCAUUAGCUAGUUGGUAAGGUAACGGCUUACCAAGGCGACGAUGCGUAGCCGACCUGAGAGGGUGAUCGGCCACACUGGAACUGAGACACGGUCCAGACUCCUACGGGAGGCAGCAGUAGGGAAUCUUCCGCAAUGGGCGAAAGCCUGACGGAGCAACGCCGCGUGAGUGAUGAAGGUCUUCGGAUCGUAAAACUCUGUUAUUAGGGAAGAACAAAUGUGUAAGUAACUAUGCACGUCUUGACGGUACCUAAUCAGAAAGCCACGGCUAACUACGUG
This 497-nucleotide ribosomal RNA is filed under the name uncultured bacterium. RNAcentral's name for it is "partial 16S ribosomal RNA". It matches the Rfam family "Bacterial small subunit ribosomal RNA", at positions 28 to 507 of the family's 1533-position model. The record is from RNAcentral.